Molecule: ribosomal RNA, 492 nt
Filed under: uncultured bacterium
Lineage: Bacteria
Description: partial 16S ribosomal RNA
Rfam family: Bacterial small subunit ribosomal RNA
Source: RNAcentral
AGUGAACGCUGGCGGUAGGCCUAACACAUGCAAGUCGAACGGCAGCACAGUAAGAGCUUGCUCUUACGGGUUGCGAGUGGCGGACGGGUGAGGAAUACAUCGGAAUCUACUUUUUCGUGGGGGAUAACGUAGGGAAACUUACGCUAAUACCGCAUACGACCUACGGGUGAAAGCAGGGGAUCUUCGGACCUUGCGCGAUUGAAUGAGCCGAUGUCGGAUUAGCUAGUUGGCGGGGUAAAUGCCCACCAAGUCGACGAUCCGUAGCUGGUCUGAGAGGAUGAUCAGCCACACUGGAACUGAGACACGGUCCAGACUCCUACGGGAGGCAGCAGUGGGGAAUAUUGGACAAUGGGCGCAAGCCUGAUCCAGCCAUACCGCGUGGGUGAAGAAGGCCUUCGGGUUGUAAAGCCCUUUUGUUGGGAAAGAAAAGCAGCAGGUUAAUACCCCGCUGUUCUGACGGUACCCAAAGAAUAAGCACCGGCUAACUUCGUG